UGGGGAAUAUUGCACAAUGGGCGCAAGCCUGAUGCAGCCAUGCAGCGUGUAUGAAGAAGGCCUUCGGGUUGUAAAGUACUUUCAGUCGGGAGGAAGGUGGUAAGGUUAAUAACCUUAUCAAUUGACGUUACCGACAGAAGAAGCACCGGCUAACUCCGUGCCAGCAGCCGCGGUAAUACGGAGGGUGCAAGCGUUAAUCGGAAUUACUGGGCGUAAAGCGCACGCAGGCGGUUGAUUGAGUCAGAUGUGAAAUCCCCGGGCUUAACCCGGGAAUUGCAUCUGAUACUGGUCAGCUAGAGUCUUGUAGAGGGGGGUAGAAUUCCAUGUGUAGCGGUGAAAUGCGUAGAGAUGUGGAGGAAUACCGGUGGCGAAGGCGGCCCCCUGGACAAAGACUGACGCUCAGGUGCGAAAGCGUGGGGAGCAAACAGG
This 429-nucleotide ribosomal RNA is filed under the name Chloroflexota bacterium. RNAcentral's name for it is "Chloroflexi bacterium partial 16S ribosomal RNA". It matches the Rfam family "Bacterial small subunit ribosomal RNA", at positions 355 to 776 of the family's 1533-position model. The record is from RNAcentral. Lineage: Bacteria; Bacillati; Chloroflexota.